GAAAGAUGGUGACAUAGAAGCACUCUGAACUAACCUCUUCCCAUGGACACAACAAAUUUACAACUACCCUUGGAACAUUACCCCUGAGAGAGACCUGGAAACUGGCUAAAAGACUCCCACAACAAGGGUCGACACUGACCAAAGUGGAAGAGGCAGAAAUAUCUUCCUGGGGAGGAAAAAGCCACAUUCCAGCUGUGGUGCUUCAUGGCCAGGAGCAAUCUUAAGCUAAACCUUGGAUUUGCCCUUACAAAACCUACACAGCUGGCCUGAAGCCUCAUGAGACUGCUAUGCUCCAGGAGCACCGAGGCUGGGAAGACCUGUGUCCAGUCCUGUGGCCUGGACCCACAGAAGAGCAGAAAGAGUAGUCACAGGAGAGAUUAACAAGAGAUCUAAGAGAUGGAGGAAAAUGGAACCUGCCUAAGUAGGAUUUAUCAUCACCUUAUCCCCCUUCCAUUAAGAGCUCCACACCCUGAUAGGGUGACCUAUGCUUUAAAGACCACAUUUUCUCCUUGGAAAUGGAGUUCUUCCUUCCUGGGGCUAAGGACAGAUAUGUGCACAUCUCUGGAGGGUAGUAUCACCUAGCUGCUCACUAAACACAAAGUUUAAUAAGAGAAGUAGCCUGUUUUAAAAGAGCUCAAAGUCUGGUGGGAGACCAGUCCCCAAACACAAGCAGUGGCACAAAGGAAGGGUGAGACCAAGUACUUCACAUGAAUUGUGGACACUCACAGAAUAUAUGUGGCAGCAUGACAAAGGACAAUACUCCAGAGAGAAGUAUAAACAAAAGUCAACAGGAGGUCUGCAUUCCAACUCUGACUCUCCACUGCCUUGUUGUUUAUUAAACUUUACUCCAUUUUCCAAAAAGUAUACGGAAUAUUAAGUGACAAUCAAUUAGAACCCAAGACUGUAAAAGAAUGCUGCUGUUCAACUCUGGGGAGAGAACUCUUACUGACAGAUCCCUGGACCAUUUCCAGCUUGGGGUUACUAUGAAUAAAACUGCUAUGAACAUUCAUCUACAAGACUCUUUCUAGGUGUAGGUUUAUAUUUAUCUCAAACAUCUACUGUGAAAUUUCUGGGUUACAGGGUAGGUAUCUGUUUAACUUAAAAUUUCUGUUAUGAGGGAGUCAAUAGAGACUGUGAAGUGGGAGCGUCUUUAAGUGAAAACAAGUUGGCUAAAAUGGAAGGAUUUUUCUUUUUGUGAUCACACCAAAGUUUUGCCAGGGACGGCAGUUUUAUUCAAACAUUUUAGAAACACUGUAUCAUAAUUUGAGUCCUCAAACUGGAAUGUCCUCUAAAUCAAGGAGGAUGUCUUCAUUGACAUACUAGAGUGCUAUUCAUUUAUAAAGUGUUCGCUCAACUGGACCCACACGCCGCCACUGUGUGCCGUUACUAACGUCUCACACCUCUUUCUAACUGAAUCUGCAUUUCUACACAGAACGAUUCUGCUUUGUUGGGGAAGUUGGCAUAAAAAUCAGCUCAAACUUUGGCCAAAUCCCUGGGAUGGACCCUAUCGAAAGCUCUUUAUUCACUCUCCCAUCAAGUUUGUUAACCAGAUCAAAAAUAACCAUAUCUUUCAUUUUGAAGGAGAAAUCUCUUCACUAAUAACCUUAGAAAUUUCUAGGAUUUUACCCAUUCUGCUGUAUCUCUCAGACAUAUGCUUGCAAAGCUAAGCUGUCUGUGAUGCAUGAUUUUCAAAGUGGUCUUUCUGUUAACUGAAUUAGGUGCCUCAUUAAAGACUCUUGAAAGAGCAAUGCCAAGUUAGCUGGACUGGAAACAGAUACCGGUAAUCCAAAUAUUUAACCAACUUCCUGGAGACCUUGAGGCUAUAGCCUAUUUGGGUUGGAACAGGACCCAGGGUGCCAUCCCCAGGGCAUCUCUGGGCCCAGGCUGGCAAACCAUCAAAGCUGAAAUGUCAAG
Equus caballus (horse) is the source of this 1914-nucleotide long non-coding RNA. Lineage: Eukaryota; Metazoa; Chordata; Mammalia; Perissodactyla; Equidae. The record is from Ensembl.